RNAcentral lists this ribosomal RNA (215 nucleotides) under uncultured bacterium. RNAcentral's name for it is "partial 16S ribosomal RNA". It matches the Rfam family "Bacterial small subunit ribosomal RNA", at positions 118 to 351 of the family's 1533-position model. The record is from RNAcentral.
UGGGAACCUUCCCUAUGGUUCGGAAUAGCUCAGGGAAACUUGGGGUAAUACCGGAUAAGCCCUUCGGGGAAAGAUUUAUCGCCAUUGGAUGGGCCCGCGUCGGAUUAGCUAGUUGGUGAGGUAACGGCUCACCAAGGCAACGAUCCGUAGCUGGUCUGAGAGGAUGAUCAGCCACACUGGGACUGAGACACAGCCCAGACUCCUACGGGAGGCAG